This 73-nucleotide transfer RNA is filed under the name Snowella sp. RNAcentral's name for it is "tRNA-Ala". It matches the Rfam family "tRNA". From Rfam's summary of the family: Transfer RNA (tRNA) molecules are approximately 80 nucleotides in length. The record is from RNAcentral. Lineage: Bacteria; Bacillati; Cyanobacteriota; Cyanophyceae; Synechococcales; Coelosphaeriaceae. RNAcentral also lists the same sequence under 8 other names.
GGGGUUAUAGCUCAGUUGGUAGAGCACUGCAAUGGCAUUGCAGGGGUCAGGAGUUCGAGUCUCCUUAGCUCCA